CAGAAAAUAGCUUAAGUUAAAAGCAAUUUAUUUACAUUAAAAGGAUACUUUAUGUUUUUUUGA
Molecule: transfer RNA, 63 nt
Filed under: Anomolachesilla palaciosi
Lineage: Eukaryota; Metazoa; Arthropoda; Insecta; Psocodea; Lachesillidae
Description: tRNA-Val
Source: RNAcentral